CUCGGCAUAAUAAAUGUACUUUCCCUUAGGCAUUACAAAUACACUAUGAAACGUACUGCGAGCGAUUUGUCAACAAAUACAAUUUCGCUUGAUUUUCAAUUCAAAGGAUAGAAUACUGGUGCUUAGUAACACAUUUGACAUCCGUAAGUACAAUUUCUUACGCUGAAUCGAACGGUGGUAUUUUUAUCCUUAUUGCGCCAUUAGGCAUUACAAAUACAAGAACAAACCUGUGGACAAACGUAGUGCGAGUGAUUUGUGAUCAACAAUACGUACUGCGAGCGAUUUUUCAACAAUACAAUUUCGCUUCAUUUUCAAAGGCCAUAAAUCGCUAGAAUACGGGUGUUUAGUAGUACACUUGACAUCUGUUAGUACAAGUUCUUACACUGAAUCGAACGGUGUAGCUUUCUUCUCAAAAU
Non-coding RNA from Paramuricea clavata, 416 nucleotides. The record is from the annotation of a GenBank genome assembly. Lineage: Eukaryota; Metazoa; Cnidaria; Anthozoa; Malacalcyonacea; Plexauridae.